Molecule: long non-coding RNA, 423 nt
Organism: Astatotilapia calliptera (eastern happy)
Lineage: Eukaryota; Metazoa; Chordata; Actinopteri; Cichliformes; Cichlidae
Source: Ensembl
GCGGUGGGUUUGGAGCAGACACGCAGUUAUUCUAGUAAUGACCUGAGCACGAAGCGUGGCUUCGGAACGGUCGUUACAGACAGAGAGCGAGCGGAGCCGGGAAGAGAAAAAGGAUUGAAAGGGGUUGUAACUCACAGUUGCUGAAUCAGGCGGAGACUGACGUCGGCAGAGUUUCGGAGCUCCUGACACGAGGAUACUGAUGUCUGAGCGGCGAACAGGAAGGGGAGCCCCAUCUGCUGCCACACAGGGGGAUAAGAAGAAAAUGAAGAAGGAAAGAAAAUUGCACACAGCUUUUCCAAACUCCAUCCCACUUGAGUGUGACUCAGAGAAGCUGGUUUUGACACUGCCAGUGUGCUGUGUUUCUUCAGCCCAGGAAGCCAAGCCUCAUGCAGUCGGUGACCUCGUGGGAUCUGGAUGUCCAGC